This 495-nucleotide ribosomal RNA is filed under the name uncultured bacterium. Its description in RNAcentral is "partial 16S ribosomal RNA". It matches the Rfam family "Bacterial small subunit ribosomal RNA", at positions 30 to 507 of the family's 1533-position model. The record is from RNAcentral.
UGAACGCUGGCGGCGUGCCUAAUACAUGCCCGUCGAGCGAACAGACGAGGAGCUUGCUCCUCUGACGUUAGCGGCGGACGGGUGAGUAACACGUGGAUAACCUACCUAUAAGACUGGGAUAACUUCGGGAAACCGGAGCUAAUACCGGAUAAUAUAUUGAACCGCAUGGUUCAAUAGUGAAAGACGGUUUUGCUGUCACUUAUAGAUGGAUCCGCGCCGCAUUAGCUAGUUGGUAAGGUAACGGCUUACCAAGGCGACGAUGCGUAGCCGACCUGAGAGGGUGAUCGGCCACACUGGAACUGAGACACGGUCCAGACUCCUACGGGAGGCAGCAGUAGGGAAUCUUCCGCAAUGGGCGAAAGCCUGACGGAGCAACGCCGCGUGAGUGAUGAAGGUCUUCGGAUCGUAAAACUCUGUUAUUAGGGAAGAACAAAUGUGUAAGUAACUAUGCACGUCUUGACGGUACCUAAUCAGAAAGCCACGGCUAACUACGUG